Molecule: unclassified non-coding RNA, 26 nt
Filed under: Mus musculus (house mouse)
Lineage: Eukaryota; Metazoa; Chordata; Mammalia; Rodentia; Muridae
Description: oocyte_clustered_small_RNA2004
Source: RNAcentral
UCUGGCUCAAGGGGGAUGCUCCAUGA